UAAUAAUAAAAAAAUAGGUUUAUCCAUUGUACUUCUUCGGUGUGAUCAUUUAAGAAUGGCCUACUAUGUAUUCAGUGCGUAUACAUGUGGGUUUUGUUUGUGAAGAGUUCUGGAUAAUUAAAAAAUCAUUUGAUUUCUUUGUUUAAUACAAUAAAACGAUUCAUUCUUUUAGAUAUUUGUCACUUUGCCUUAUCUUCAAGUCCAACACAAUUUCUCACGUUUCUUACAAAACUUAUAUACUUGUGAUGUAUUCUUUUGUUGGAAAAAAAAUGUAUUGAUAUAGAUAGAUAUAGGAAGAUGUGGUAUGAGUGCCAAUGAGACAACUCUCCUCCCAAGUAAUAAUUCAUAAAAGUAAACCAUUAUAGGUCAAGGUACGACCUGCAACACGGAGCCUUGGCUCACACCGAACAGCAAGUUAUAGAGGGCCCCAAAACUACUAGUGUAAAACCAUUCAAACGGGAAAACCAACGAGAAACGAAAAACACAUAUGAACUACAUAAACAGACGACAUCAUGCAUUGUAACUUUUAAAGCCAAUUAAGUAAAAAAAAUAAUCUGAAAGAACGUGCGAUAUCAUAUUAGGAAAAUUGAUGGUCAAACCAUAACAAAAAAUCAAGUAAAGAAUAUUAAGUAUUCAACCUUUAUAGCUUGCUGUUCGGUGUGAGCCAAGACUCCGUGUUGAAGGCC
RNAcentral lists this long non-coding RNA (686 nucleotides) under Mytilus galloprovincialis (Mediterranean mussel). The record is from RNAcentral. Lineage: Eukaryota; Metazoa; Mollusca; Bivalvia; Mytilida; Mytilidae.